UCACCGCUGAGGGAUCAUCAAUAUCUACAACGUUGAAAAUGAAACAGAAAAGGGAUUUUAACAAAUUAAAUGUGAACCAUGUGUGACCAAUAUAGGUUUUUUAAAAAACAGCGAAGUGUGUUUCACCCAGGGAUCUGAGAGGAACACGUCUACAGGACUUCAUCUCAAGCCAAAUAAUCAUGUGGAAGCUCCUGGUGGCGUUACCACGGACCUGGGUUCCAGCAGCAGGGUGCUCUUUACUUUCCCAGGCCUCAGCCUGUUGCUACAGGUCCCAGAGUUGCAGCACUUUCGAAAUUUUGCAACACGUAUGAGGCAGGGAGCAGGGAAUUCUAGAAAAGGUGAACCUGAGAAAAUACCUCAGUGGUUGCCUGAGGAUUCGAGUGAAGAGAGAGAAGAUGGAUUCAAAGGGGCACAGGGAAACCGUGGUGAUGAAGAUGCCCUGGGGGCCGCUGCAGUAGCUGGUUACAGAGAGUUCUGUCCACUGAAAGCCCUGAAGAUAAUUAACACCCCAGCCACAAUGAACACACACCAGCAUCCAGAUUCGGCUUCUCAAUACCAUUCACCUCUAAAAGGAAUCAGAGCUUUUUGGAGAAAUGGAUGAAUCCGUGGCUAGAAAUGAAAAAUAGAAGCUAAACCUAGGACGCCUCUGUGCAAGAGAAAGCAAGAAGUCCUCAGAGACUAAAGGGGACAUAGACAAAGGACAGGAAAGGCAGCCUAAAGGGGCCUUACUGGCCAAGUCUGGGAUAAUUUGAGCAUCAAAACAAUGACCGCCAUUGAUUAUAAAACACUGAAUAAAAACCUGAGUCCACAAGGAUAUUCACAGAGAUUUACUUGCCACCAUUAGAGGCGAUUAUACACCAAUCCUUUUCUCUGCGAAUCGGCCCUACAGUUCCUUUUUAAGAACUGUAAUGCCAACUAAUGACAGAAUUAGAAAAAUCACCAUUUUGCAACCCCCCAGAGAAAUGAUUCAGGCAAGAAUCAUCAAUGGAUAUGCACACGGUGCCAAAUUAUCUCCCCCUAGCUUACAGGUUAAUCACAAAGGGAAAACCAUACCCUGCGGUGGAGAGAUGAGGCAUCACCACCUUAGGCCAGGGUUCGAACUUAGCAUCACCCACAACAGGACAACCUGGUAGUUCGGGCGGCCUAGGAAGCACCCAGCACCACCUGGCAACUGUUUCAACGAGCUUGAACCUAAACAAGCAGUUGGAUUUGACUUCCAGGGAUACAGGGCCAAGCUGAACAACAUCACAAGGAAAGACUCAGCCAAGUUCAAGAUGUGAGCCUCCCCUAAAACAACAGGCCUUGAUCUUUUCAAAAAAAAGGGGCUUUGGAGGCUGGUAGGAUCAUUCCAGACUGUAAAGACAACAGAGAUAUUAAAAAUCCAGUUGCAAUGCCUGUACCUUCGCUACAUCUUGGUUUUAAAAAGCCACAAAGUUAUAAAAAAGAAAAAACACUUUGGGGUACAAUUGGAGAAUCUGAAUACAGACUAACUAGAUGCUGUGGGGAAUUAUUUUAGAUUUUCUUAGGCGUGGUAACGUGCUGCGCUUAUACAGGAGAGAAUGUCUUUGUUCCCAAGAGAUUCACGCUGAUGGUUUAAAGGGUAAAGCGCCGUGAUGCCUACAACUUUCUCUUAAUGGGGUCUCAUGAUUUUUACAUAAAGACGAACUUAACAUGGUAAUGACGACUGAUUCUAGGUAGUGGGGUAGAUAGGUAGUCUCUGUACUAUUCUUGCAUCUUUUCUGUAUAUUUGAGUUUUUCCAUCAGAAAAAUAUGAGAAGAGGGGGAAGCAGCAGUGGUGACAGUCCUGCCGUUUGUAAAGUCGGUUAUCCUGGGCAGAGCCAGUACCUCACCCAUCUGCACCAGGUGUAUUGAGCUGAACGGUGCCCUCAUCUCAGUACCCUCAGAAUGUGAUGAUAUUUGGGAAACAGGGUCUCUAAAGAGGCAAUUAAGCUAAAACGAGGCCAUGAGGCUGGGCUCUGAUAUCCUAGAGAGGAGAUUGGGACCCAGGUACCCACAGAGGGAAGACCAUGUGAAGACACAAGGUGGCCACCUACCAGCCAAGGAGAGAAGCCUCUGAAGAAACCAGCCCAGCAGACACCUUUAUCUCACAUUUCUAGCCUCUAGAACUGUGCAAAAAUACAUUUGUUUCGUAAGGCCCCCCCUGCCACCGCCCCAGUCUAUGAUGCUUGUAAUGCCAGCCCUAGCAAACUCAUCUAAUAGGGAGGAUUUCCAGGAGAAGGACAAAGACUGUUCCUCUAAUGUGCACAGAGGAACAGCCCGGCUUCUUUGUGCGUAUUACCCAUUUACUGACGGAGAAGACCAUGAGCUCCCAGGAUACCGCAUCUGUGUGUGUGAGUGUGUGUGUGCGCGCACGCACGUGCGUGGGGGGGGGGGGUUGGAGUGAAGACAGCUAUUUGGGAUGACUUAACGUCUGCUACAUCAGCUGGGGAAUACCCAGACAUCCUGCCUCUCAGGUUCUCUUACACUCACAGGACGUCUCCCAGAGCCAGCGCUGUCUGGGGACCUCCUGGUAGCCUGGGUUUACCUCCGCAGAGACACUGAAAAGGCACACGUCUGUCUGCUGCCAAGGAAUCAGACAUCGAGCAGAAAUGUGUCGA
Long non-coding RNA from Canis lupus familiaris (dog), 2618 nucleotides. RefSeq lists it as uncharacterized. The transcript is spliced from 3 exons. NCBI's taxonomy places the organism in Eukaryota, Metazoa, Chordata, Mammalia, Carnivora, Canidae. The record is from RefSeq and is a predicted model, not a curated record.